Molecule: ribosomal RNA, 398 nt
Filed under: uncultured bacterium
Lineage: Bacteria
Description: bacterial SSU rRNA
Rfam family: Bacterial small subunit ribosomal RNA
Source: RNAcentral
GGAAUCUUGCACAAUGGGGGAAACCCUGAUGCAGCGACGCCGCGUGAGUGAUGAAGCCCUUCGGGGUGUAAAGCUCUUUCAGCGGGAACGAUUAUGACGGUACCCGCAGAAGCAGCUUCGGCGAACUACGUGCCAGCAGCCGAGGUAAUACGUAGGAAGCAAGCGUUGUUCGGAGUUACUGGGCGUAAAGAGUGCGUAGGCGGUUCGGUAAGUUCGGUGUGAAAUCUCCCGGCUCAACUGGGAGGGUGCGCCGGAAACUGCCGUGCUUGAGCGUGGGAGAGGAAAGCGGAAUUCCUGGUGUAGCGGUGAAAUGCGUAGAUAUCAGGAGGAACACCGGCGGUGUAGACGGCUUUCUGGACCACUGCUGACGCUGAGGCACGAAAGCGUGGGGAGCAAAC